Molecule: ribosomal RNA, 547 nt
Filed under: uncultured bacterium
Lineage: Bacteria
Description: partial 16S ribosomal RNA
Rfam family: Bacterial small subunit ribosomal RNA
Source: RNAcentral
UGGGGAAUAUUGCACAAUGGGCGAAAGCCUGAUGCAGCAACGCCGCGUGAGUGAUGAAGGUUUUCGGAUUGUAAAGCUCUGUCUUUUGGGACGAUAAUGACGGUACCAAAGGAGGAAGCCACGGCUAACUACGUGCCAGCAGCCGCGGUAAUACGUAGGUGGCGAGCGUUGUCCGGAUUUACUGGGCGUAAAGGGUGCGUAGGCGGAUGUUUAAGUGAGAUGUGAAAUACCCGGGCUUAACUUGGGUGCUGCAUUUCAAACUGGAUAUCUAGAGUGCAGGAGAGGAGAAUGGAAUUCCUAGUGUAGCGGUGAAAUGCGUAGAGAUUAGGAAGAACACCAGUGGCGAAGGCGAUUCUCUGGACUGUAACUGACGCUGAGGCACGAAAGCGUGGGUAGCAAACAGGAUUAGAUACCCUGGUAGUCCACGCCGUAAAACGAUGAGUACUAGGUGUAGGAGGUAUCGACCCCUUCUGUGCCGCAGUAAAACACAUUAAGUACUCCGCCUGGGAAGUACGAUCGCAAGAUUAAAACUCUAAAGUGAAUUGAC